Cyanistes caeruleus (blue tit) is the source of this 5439-nucleotide non-coding RNA. NCBI's taxonomy places the organism in Eukaryota, Metazoa, Chordata, Aves, Passeriformes, Paridae. The record is from RefSeq and is a predicted model, not a curated record.
CUGCCGUCUUAGGACUUGAUGAAGCCAGCCUUUCCUUCAGGAUAACGAUGUGGAACGGCAGAUCAUCCCGGGCUGCAAGCAGGCGUGCAGGAGGAGCAGGACACCGGAGCAAACUUGGCUCGAUGGACUGAGGCAGUAUGCGAAUUUAGGAGAAGAUGAGCUUACUUUCUCUUCAGAUUAUGUAUUUUACACCCUAUAAAGCUUUAGGAACAAAUAAGCAAUCAGCGGGAUAAAAUGACUGCACCAGCAGACAAGGAAGGCUGAAGCAGCAGCUGCUCGGGAGCCACCCGCACCCUUCUCAGCACAGAGUGCUACAGACCCACUAGAGACAGAUCCUUUCGGCUCUUCUGUGGAUCCGGUGUAGCCAGCAGGAGCAAAAAUGAGUACCAGUGUAUCCAAACUACCAAGAUCAGCGGAUCUUCCCAACACACAACAGGAAGGAGGCUGAGUAAGCAGUUGCCAUUUUUCAGAUCACUAAUAGCUGCAACAUUACCCAAAGGGAACUAGUAAUACAAUGUGCAGAGUUAGUACAUGUAUGAACUCACUCCCCACCCACCCAAGAGAACAUUCAAGCUCCCUGGAAAGAAGGCAGUGUAACAAACAUUGGUGUUGCUGCCAGCUGAUGUUCUAACAGGAUAUUUCCAACAGGAAAAAAAUGCCAAAUAUCCUCCACUCUGUUAAAGCCAUGUAACGCCAGAAGGAUACAUCCAGCACAGCUUUGCAUCCACUUAGUUUCUAGGGCAAAUCCUUGGCUUGGCAAUGUCAAGACCUUGGCCUUUGGUAUGUGAUAGAGGUCAGGCCCCUCCCUCUAAAGAGGAAGGUUUUUUUGCUUUCAUAAACCAAUUGCCUGGGUCACUAAACCUGCCAUGGCUCUGGAAGACUGCUAGAGAUGAACAACUCACUGACCCUUAGUUUCUUCAUCAUCACAAAUCAUACAAGAUACCUUUUACAAAAGCAAAGAUCCAACAAAGAUCCUUACUGCAGUUCAUCUUGAGAUUAUACUGAAGCACCAGUGAUCUUGUCUACCUUGAAAGAAUAUGUGAGAUGCAGAAACAUAUAGAAGACAUACAUUUCUUACCAGAUUGAUCUUCAAUUCCUAGCUUUUGGAAAAUAAAAAUGAAAAAACCCAACCACCAAUGAAAAAAACAAUGAACCAACCAAAACCCUCAACAAAUCAAGUUAAAAAAAAAAACAAAAAACAAAAAAAAGAAUGGCAAGGUACAGAGAAAGCUGUCCUCAGGGACAAAGCUUACUUAUUCAGAACAUUACUUCUUCCCAUGAAAGAAAGUAAAGUUCUCAUUACUUUGUGGAUGUUCUCAGCCCCAACAUAACAGACAAAGCACGGUCCAAGUGUCUGUGGCUGACUUGUUCUCAGAUUUCUCCCCCUGCCUGAGAGAGUUCAACCAAGAGUCACUGCAGGACAAACACAAAACCAAAAAAGCAAGAAUGCUUUUGAAAUCUGUUAAUCCAGAAAAUUAAAGUGGGGAACUGUAUACCUGUUACCAGCAGUUACACUUAACACAUGGGAAAUGCACAGCAAGAACCCACUCCCAUAAGGUGAUCAGCUGCUUUAGUGUCUACCAACUUCACUGCAAAUUGCAGGUGUAAUGCUGGCAGUGGAGCUGUACACCACACAGUAUGCUGUCUCGAGAAGAAAAUUACUGGGUCUCAGCAUAGUGGAAUAUACAUUUUAUUUCUUAAAAAGGAAGGGUACUAACAGAAUUUAAUACAGUCAAAAUUUUACAUUUUAAACAAAAGCUUUUCUUUUUCUUAAAAACCAGUUACGAGCAGAGAGGUGAGAGGAUUUAAACUACUCACAAAAUCCAAGCCGAAGACUUUGAGAAUUCAAAUCUGUGGUUUAUACAUUUAAAAAAGUGUAAUAAAUGGAAAUAUAAAAUAAUACCAACUCUGUAAUAGUGAAAUGCCCUUUCCUCAUUAGAUUGCUGUUUAAGCACCUUUAUUUUCACCCAUCAGCUGCCAGGAGUGUUUAGGUUUAUGUACAAAAUAAGCAGUUUGGGACAGAAGAUUCAUAUAGAAAUUAAAACCAUUUAUGGCAAUACAGUUUUACCCAGCCGCUUUACAAACUUUAUUAUCUCUUUCACUUCUGUGGAAUUUUUCAGUCAGGAUGAUCUCAAAUGCACUUGAUGGACUGCUUCAAAAAGCAGCUACAUAUACAGGAAUUAUAUAGACAACCUCAAGGAGUAGACAUCCAAGAGAUUAAACAACUUAACACACAGUAAAACUAAGAUCAGAUUUAUAUCUUAUAUAAAUACUGUGCAGAUUUAUUAUCCAUCCCACUGAAUGAAUGGGACAGAUCAGUGUCACAUCUGAAGACAAAAAAAUGCUUUUAUCCAAGAGGCAACAGAAUUUCAGGCCAAAUAUAGCAGAUAGGAGUUCCCUCAAAUUAUUUAGUUAAAAACUGUAUGUGUCUGAAAAAGCUUUACAAGAACAGAGUUUUCAGAAUAACUUGCACAUUUGCUUAGCUGUUUCAUAGCUAUUUUACAGCCUAGAGACACUGAGAGAGGAGGAAAAAAAAUAGAUGAAAAUAAAGACAAGCUGUUUUCUCUGCCCACUACGAAAGCUGUGGCUUUGUCGUUUAUGGAACACUGCAGACAUAGCUGUUACCAGAGAGGAGACUGCUCCAGUACAGCAUUAAAGACAAAGUUACAUUAUGGCUGGAGAAAGUGUCAUUACAGGCUAAUCUCUUUACAUGAAGGCUGAUGGAUUAAUCUCACCUCCUCCUCAAAACCCAAGCAUUCAGACUUCCUAGCAGACUGCUCAUGAUUCUUACUCCACUGUUUUCUAUUUUUUUUAACACAAGAUAGGAAAAGGUCAUGAAAGCUGAUGAAAGGUCCAGCUGUGCAGCAUCCAGUGAACAUGUACUCAGCAAAACCAAAAGUCAUUAAUCACUUUCUCUCUCUUUCUCUCUCCACACCACAACAGGAAACCCGUGUCAUCUAUGUACAUAAUGGAACUAAUAAAGAUGUAGACUAUCUAGGUCACAAAUGAGCUUCAGUAACAGUCACUCACUGUUGCACUGCAACUUGCUGCAGUCUGGCUGAAGGGUGGAGACAGAUCUGUUUGAGCCAAAAGAGAGAAUAGUUAAAAAAACCACACCCAAAAAAAACCACCCAGCUUUGGUUUUCCUCAGUCACUAAAGUUUACAAAUAAUUUAAUAAUGCUACUCACAAACAAAUCAACUGUCCAGCUAACAGGAUGGGAAGAGUACAAAUGAUGAAUGUAAUCAGUGACUACUGUUAAAGAAAGACUGGAAGAAAAUCAGUUCCCUCAAAAUCUUAGUUUCUCUGCUUAAGUAGCUCAUUAUUAUUUUUAAAACAUUUUUUGUUGAUAGAAAGCAUCACAACUAGACUAGAAUUCCACAACAUCAAUCUUUGUUUUGAUUUCUGUAGUUCUCUAGGAAAGAAAUAAUCCCAAAUCAAGCUACAUGAAGCAUUAACAAUAUUCAGAUAUUACAAUGGAAGCACUUAUUUAUUACUUCAUAGAACAGAUUAGUUUUAAAAGUGUAUUUACAUGUUCUAAGUUAUACAAAAUACAGUAUUCCAAUAAUCAUGUUAAUCACCAUAUUUCAGACAACUUCACAUAAAAGUGCGGAGGAUGCAUCCAUCCCUGAUCCUGGCCAGUAGCGAGCGGUCACCCCAGUGUGACAGGUGAGAGCUGCUAUUGUUCCCCCUCGGGAAAACAAAUCCCACCAUCCCUUCUCACUGAAACGUAGCUGCACAUCUAGGAAAACAUUCAGGCAGGUACACGAGCAAGGUUUGUUGAGACCCACAGACCAAAAUCACAUGCCUUAAUUUACUAGACGUAUGUGAAGUACAUUUUUAAGUUUUUUACAGAUGUUGUACAGCAAAGGGCUUCUGCUCAUGCCUUAGUUAGGAAAAUGAAGUAACAAGGGUUUUAGCUAUAUAACAGGCACCCAAAUUACACUUAAUAUCAACAGCCCUAUAACUACAACUGGAUAGUGUGUUAAGGACACAAUUCUGCAGCUGACUGCCUGGGCAGAGCUUCACAUUCAAGAACAGAUCCUGUGAAGUCCACAUGGUUGUCUAUAGAUAAAGGGCUCUUCCCAUGCAGAAAUGACAGCAGAAUUGAGACCUUAAAAGAUUGGGGCCUCAGAUAGUAGUUUCCUUGUGAGACAGCACUGACCAGUUUACAUUGGCAGGUCAAGCCCCAGCACAACAGCACACUUAGUUGAAACAACAGCUAUUUUUUCAUGCCUUUCUGCAGUAACUCUCCUCCAUAUCUGUAUACUCCUUUCACUUCCUUCUGGACUGUGGAGACAAGCAGAUUCCCAAGACAUAAACAAGUACUUAUCUUCAGUAUGAUGCUAAACUGAGGGGAUUCAAAUUGGCCUAAAAUUGUAAACAGCGAGGUGUCAGUUUAAGCAAUCUCAUUCAAGUCAGAUUCUUGCAUUACUCUCCUCUUCCUCUUUUAUUCUUUGCUCUCCUUGCCAAGUAUCUAUGUCUGUCUAUAUAUUUAUCUUCCUCAAAGGAUUCCUUUUUCCCUGUAGGUGUCUGAACUUCAAGAAGUUUGCGUUCCAAAAGUGACUCAUGACGGAUAGCAGACUAUCAAACUAACAAAUUAUAUCUGUAUGACAAUUUGCAGCAUCAUGAGUUAAAUCACUGUGAUUUCUCAAUUAACAUUAUGUUAGCAUCUCUACAGAUAUUUAGUUAAGCCUAUUCUUUCUACCUUUCUCUCAGUCUUCAACUGUGAGUUUAGCUAUCUUCACCAUGUUACAGUGGCAGAUAUACACACCAGAGUAAUUAUUUGAAGAUCUAGAACGCCAGUCAGUAGUGCUGCAAAGGCAAAACGCUAGCACUAACAAAUGAUUUUGAUCUUUAUGGAUUUAGGUGUAUGUUGCCAAAAAUAUGAGAUUUCUGCACUAAGAUAAAUUUACAUUUCUCAUCUUGUGCUUAGCAGCUAAAACUAGAAAGGUGAACAAAAGCCUAUCUGGAUUUUACAAAGGUCCAAGAUACCUUCUCUCUCACUAAAAAUGAAAGUACCUGAUCACAAGGAACAAAGCCCUUCUAUGCUCAGGUGGCCUACAAUACUGAAGCAGCAGUAUUCUCCUCUGUGCAGGUCCAUUAUUUUUAAUAUCUACAAAUUAUUUUUUUUUCCAUGUAAGUGGUUUUAUUACAGUAUUCCCAAAGCUGCUGGCCUUCCACUGCACCUCCCAACUUGAAAUGGGUUUGGUACAAUUAGUAGCAGGCCUGCAAAUAAUGCUGAAAGUGAUUUCUAGUUAGAACAACCUUGGGCUUUCAAACAGCACAGCAAGGAAAUGGAGAAUUAUCAGAAAAGACAUAAAAUGUUACUACAAAAAGCUGCUUAGCAAAAAACCAAACAACCCAAAAACAUUUCUUCUCCAACACAAGUACGCUACUUUUUCACUCUGUCCAUGCAGGACCAAAAAAAAAAAAAAAA